UACGUAGGGGGCAAGCGUUGUCCGGAAUUAUUGGGCGUAAAGCGCGCGCAGGCGGUCAAGUAAGUCUGGUGUAUAAACCAAGGGCUCAACCUUUGGACGCAUUGGAAACUGUUUGACUGGAGUGUAGGAGAGGAAAGUGGAAUUCCACGUGUAGCGGUGAAAUGCGUAGAGAUGUGGAGGAACACCAGUGGCGAAGGCGACUUUCUGGCCUAUAACUGACGCUGAGGCGCGAAAGCGUGGGGAGCAAACAGG
RNAcentral lists this ribosomal RNA (252 nucleotides) under uncultured bacterium. Its description in RNAcentral is "partial 16S ribosomal RNA". It matches the Rfam family "Bacterial small subunit ribosomal RNA", at positions 524 to 776 of the family's 1533-position model. The record is from RNAcentral.